RNAcentral lists this long non-coding RNA (3447 nucleotides) under Homo sapiens (human). RNAcentral's name for it is "HSALNT0126186". The record is from RNAcentral. Lineage: Eukaryota; Metazoa; Chordata; Mammalia; Primates; Hominidae.
UUUUAUGUGUCAACUUGACUAGGCCACAGGGUGCCCAGAUAUUUGGUCAAACAGGAUUCUGGGUGUUUCUGUGAGGAUACUUUUGGGUGAGGUUGACUUUUAGAUCAGUAGAUUGAAUAAAGCAGAUUGGCCUCCCUAAUGUGGGUGGGCCUCAUCCAAUCAGUUGAAGACUUGAAUAGAACAAAAGGCUGACCCUCUCCUGAGUAAGAGAAUAUUCUCCUUCCUGAUGGCUUUUUUUUUUCUCAAUCCUGGAGCCAAUCCAAGAUCAAUUGUUGCACUUAAUUUUUGUUUCUUUAGUCUGAUCUGGAACAGAUCUUCACCUCAGUGUUUCUUUUUUUUUUUUUUAGAGAUGGGGUCUUGCUGUGUUGCCCAGGGUGGAGUGCAGUGGCUAUUCACAGGUGUGAUCAUAGCUACUAUAGCCUCAAACCCUGGGUUCAAGUGAGUCCUUUGAACUAGAACAUUGGCCUUUUCUGGUUCUGCAGAAGCUUCCAGCCUUCAGAUUUGAACUGGGACACUGGCUCUGCAGAUUUUGGACUUGCCAGCCUUCAUAAUUGUAACCUACACUCCUGUCAUUUGUGGAAUGAUUGCUGGAGCCAGAGGCCAGGAAGAAGUUCAUGAGCCUGAGAGAAAAAGCAAGGAUUUCCAGUUCUACCCUGUAAGUCACUGAGCUCACUGAGCUUCAUUUUUCUUAUCCAUCAAAUGGGGAUAUUGAUUUUUUUUUUUUUUUUGAGACCAAGUUUCAUUCUUGUCACCCAGGCUGGAGUACAGUGGCGUGCUCUCGUCUCACUGCUACCUCUGGCUUCCGGGUUCGAGUGAUUCUCCUACCUCAGCCUCCUGAGUAACUGGGAUUACAAGUGUGUACCACCAUGCCCAGCUAAUUUUUUUUGUAUUUUUAGUAGAGACCGGGUUUUACCACGUUGGCCAGGCUGGUCUCAAACUCCUGACCUCAAGUGAUCUGCCCACCUCGGCCUCCCAAAGUGCUGGGAUUACAGGCAUGAGCCACUGCACACGGCUGGAUAUUGAUUUUUUUUUUUUUUUUUUUUUUGAGACAGGGUCCUGCUCUGUUGCCCAGGCUGGAGUGCAGUGGCACAAUCAUAACUCAUUGCAGCCUUGAACUCCUGGGCUCAAGCAAUCCUCCUGCCUCAGCCUCCCAAGUAGCUGGGACCACCAGUGUGCGCCACCACACCCAGCUAUUUAAAAACAUUGUUUUGUAGAGAUGGGGGUCUUGCUAUGUUGCCCAGGCUGGUCUCAAACUCCUGGCCUCAAGUAAUCCUCCCGCCUUGGCCUCCCAAAGUGCUGGAAUUACAAGUGUGAGCCACUGCACCCAGCCAGGAUAUUGUUAAAGAAUUCCAGAUGUGAGAAGUAAGGCCAAAGGCUGCCUGCAAGUUCUCUUGAUGUCACACCGGAGCACUAACAGGCCCACCUGUAGACUAUUCAGUUCUCUAAGGAAAUGUACCUUUGUUUGACUUACUGUUUACCCCUGUGUGAUUAGAGCACAGCUUCUGCAAAGUUAGAAAUUAACUUAUACAUUGAUAAAUUGCCAAUUAUUUUUGUUAUAGAGAUGCAAAGAUGCACCUGUAUGACAAAGGUGUGUUUCUUCUGGCAGGGAAAAAAAAAAUCCUAAACUAAACCCAGAGGUCACAGGAUUAUUGUCCUAUAGGAUAUUAACUAGUUCUGCAUCUAACUUAGCAAAGUUAUUUUAGCGUUUCUUUUCCCAGCUGACUGUAAAUCUCUGCCUUUCAAAUGCUCUUUGAAGGCAGCUUUACCAUUUUUCUGGCUCCCUCAUUAAGGAGUUAAAUAAAUCGUUGACACAUGUUCGCUUUAUAUUAGUAUGUGGGUCAUGUUUAAAAAUGUUUGAAAAUUGUAUUUCGUCAGCAUGAAUGCCUCUCCCACUGAUCUCACUGGGAAGGUGAGAGAAUGGAUACGAAAAUGCUUUGAAUUGUGUUCCCUGUUUUGCAUUGUAAAGAUGUUACUUGGAACAUUCAGCAGGUGGAAUAAAAUCUCCUCCUCUCAUCACAAGGGGUUUGGACGGGAAUCUUCCAAGGCCAAGAAAGCUCUGUUUCCUUGAGAAUCCCAGUUCCUUUCCAUGCACUGCUCCUUAGCAAGCUCAGGGCGGAGAGGGCUCACCUUGGAGGCGGGUCCUGAUGGCAUUGAUUUCUGCUUGGUUUCGCUCUAGCUCUGCCACCUUGGCGUUGGCUUCUGAUAAGCUGUCUUCCAGCUUUCUGACGUGGGCCUCGGCGUUCAUCUGCUCAGGAAGGAUGAACUCAGUGGGGAAGUUGCGGGUGGGGGAGGCCAAGCCCUCCCUACCUCCCCUUUGAUUUUUGCCCUGUUCUUCCUGUGUGCCUCCCAGGCUACCUGCCUGGAGGUAUGCCCCUGUCUCAGAAACCCCAAAUGGCUCACCAUUUUUUUUUUUUUUUUGAGACAGGGUAUCACUCCAUCACCCCGGCUGGAGUGCAUAGGUGCAAUCAGAGCUCACUGUAGCCUCGACAUCCUGGGCUCAAGCCAUCCUCUCACCACAGCCUCCUGAGUAGCUGGGACCACAGGUGCAUGCCACCAUCCCUGGCUAAUUAGUUUUAUUUUUUUGUAGAGACAGGGUUUCACUGUGUUGCCCAGGCUGGUCUUGAACUGGGCUCAAGUGAUCUGCCUGCCUUGGCCUCUCAAAGUGCUGGGAUUACAGGCGUUAGCCACUGUGCCUGGCUUAUUGAGCACUCUUAUGUGCCAGAGACUAUUGCAGCCCUCACAGUAGCGCUCUAAGGUGGGGAUUAUGACAAUCAUCUUCAUGUUACAGAUGAAGAAAUCGAAGCACAGGUUAUUUUAUUUUUUAUUUUAUUUUAUUUUAUUUUUGAGACAGAGUCUUGCUCUGUCGCCCAGGCUGGAGUGCAGUGGCGCAAUCUCGGCUCAAUGCAACCUCUGCCUCCCAGGUUCAAGCAAUUUUUGUAUUUUUAGUAGAGACAGGGUUUCACCAUGUUGGCCAGGCUGGUCUUGAACUUGUGACCUCAGGUGAUCUGCCUGCCUCAGCCUCCCAAAGUGCUGGGAUUACAGGCGUAAGCCACUGUGCCCAGCAGGUUAUUUUAUUUUAUUUUAUUUUAUUUUAGAGACAGGGUCUUACUCUGUUGCCCAGGCUGGAGUGCAGUGGUGCAGUCAUACUCACUGCAGUCUCAACCCCCUGGGCUCAAGCGAUCCUCCUGCCUCAGCCUCCUGAGUAGCUAGGACUACAGGCACAUGCUACCAUCCCUGGCUAAUUUCAUUUUUUGAGGAGACGAGGUCUGGCUAUGUUGUCCAGGCUGGUCCCCAACUCCUGGCCUCUCAAAAGCAAUCCUCCUGCCUCAGCCUCCCAAAGUGCUGGGAUUACAGGAGUGAGCCACUGCGUCCGGCCCACAGUUAGGUUAUUCACCUUGGACUUCUGUAUCGUCUCCAUGCUGGCAUUGAGGUCAUCAAUCUCAGCCU